Molecule: ribosomal RNA, 654 nt
Filed under: Escherichia coli
Lineage: Bacteria; Pseudomonadati; Pseudomonadota; Gammaproteobacteria; Enterobacterales; Enterobacteriaceae
Description: partial 23S ribosomal RNA
Rfam family: Bacterial large subunit ribosomal RNA
Source: RNAcentral
AUACUCCUGACUGACCGAUAGUGAACCAGUACCGUGAGGGAAAGGCGAAAAGAACCCCGGCGAGGGGAGUGAAAAAGAACCUGAAACCGUGUACGUACAAGCAGUGGGAGCACGCUUAGGCGUGUGACUGCGUACCUUUUGUAUAAUGGGUCAGCGACUUAUAUUCUGUAGCAAGGUUAACCGAAUAGGGGAGCCGAAGGGAAACCGAGUCUUAACUGGGCGUUAAGUUGCAGGGUAUAGACCCGAAACCCGGUGAUCUAGCCAUGGGCAGGUUGAAGGUUGGGUAACACUAACUGGAGGACCGAACCGACUAAUGUUGAAAAAUUAGCGGAUGACUUGUGGCUGGGGGUGAAAGGCCAAUCAAACCGGGAGAUAGCUGGUUCUCCCCGAAAGCUAUUUAGGUAGCGCCUCGUGAAUUCAUCUCCGGGGGUAGAGCACUGUUUCGGCAAGGGGGUCAUCCCGACUUACCAACCCGAUGCAAACUGCGAAUACCGGAGAAUGUUAUCACGGGAGACACACGGCGGGUGCUAACGUCCGUCGUGAAGAGGGAAACAACCCAGACCGCCAGCUAAGGUCCCAAAGUCAUGGUUAAGUGGGAAACGAUGUGGGAAGGCCCAGACAGCCAGGAUGUUGGCUUAGAAGCAGCCAUCAUUU